This 148-nucleotide transfer RNA is filed under the name Desulfonema limicola. RNAcentral's name for it is "tRNA-Cys". The record is from RNAcentral. Lineage: Bacteria; Pseudomonadati; Thermodesulfobacteriota; Desulfobacteria; Desulfobacterales; Desulfococcaceae.
GCGGGAGUGGAGUCUCAAUCCCCUCAAAGUCGGGUCAAUGAUUUUUACAAAAACAUUCAAUGGACAAAUAUGUCCAUGUGAAUUAAGUCUCAAUCCCCUCAAAGUCGGGUCAAUGAUUUUUACGCGGGUUCAAAUCCCGUUUCCCGCU